Molecule: ribosomal RNA, 446 nt
Filed under: uncultured bacterium
Lineage: Bacteria
Description: partial 16S ribosomal RNA
Rfam family: Bacterial small subunit ribosomal RNA
Source: RNAcentral
CCUACGGGGAGCAGCAGUCGAGAAUCAUUCACAAUGGUGGAAACCCUGAUGGUGCGACGCCGCGUGGGGGAAUGAAGGACUUCGGAUUGUAAACCCCUGUCAUGUGGGAGCAAAGUAAAAAGAUAGUACCACAAGAGGAAGAGACGGCUAACUCUGUGCCAGCAGCCGCGGUAAUACAGAGGUCUCAAGCGUUGUUCGGAAUCACUGGGCGUAAAGCGUGCGGAGGAUGUGUCGUAAGGCGGGUGUGAAAGGCGCGGGCUCAACCCGCGGACGGCAGAUGAUACUGGGAGACUAGAGUAAUGGAGGGGGAACCGGAAUGCUCGGUGUAGCAGUGAAAUGCGUAGAUAUCGAGAGGAACACUCGUGGCGAAGGCGGGUUCCUGGACAUUAACUGACGCUGAGGCACGAAGGCCAGGGGAGCGAAAGGGAUUAGAUACUCCUGUAGUC